CUAGCGACUUCAGAGUUUGAUCCUGGCUCAGGACGAACGCUGGCGGCGUGCCUAACACAUGCAAGUCGAACGGGGUUGACCUUCGGGUUAACUUAGUGGCGAACGGGUGAGUAACGCGUGAGAAACCUGCCUCUCAGUGGGGGACAACAGUUGGAAACGACUGCUAAUACCGCAUAACACUUCUGUACCGCAUGGUACAGAAGUCAAAGCUUUAUGUGCUGAGAGAUGGUCUCGCGUCUGAUUAGCUAGUUGGCGGGGUAACGGCCCACCAAGGCGACGAUCAGUAGCCGGUCUGAGAGGAUGAACGGCCACAUUGGGACUGAGAUACGGCCCAG
Molecule: ribosomal RNA, 335 nt
Filed under: uncultured bacterium
Lineage: Bacteria
Description: bacterial SSU rRNA
Rfam family: Bacterial small subunit ribosomal RNA
Source: RNAcentral